Molecule: long non-coding RNA, 1003 nt
Filed under: Olea europaea (common olive)
Lineage: Eukaryota; Viridiplantae; Streptophyta; Magnoliopsida; Lamiales; Oleaceae
Description: long non-coding RNA (OEUR_LNC002716)
Source: RNAcentral
GAGACGAUGGACAUGAGUGGCAUUUGCACUAUGAAGGAUCUCCCAAGGAUAUUUUGUCAAUGUGCUCUCGUUUCUAUAACAUUGAAGGGGAAGAGCUGAAAAUAGAAGGUGAGAAAAUGAGAAUGUUAGAACAAGUUAGUAAUGAUAUGCUAGCUGAACGAGAAGUAAUUGCAUAUGCUUGCAAACCCACAGAUGGGUCUGAUGAUAUGUCACUUGAAGCAAAUGACUUGAUCUUCAUAGGAAUGACAGGCAUAAGAAACAUAAUUAAGGAUGAUAUAAAAAAUGCAGUCUCGACUUUGGAGGGAGGAGGAGUUAGGACUAUUCUUGUUGCAGGAGAUUGUGUCGAUGUACUUAGACCUAUCGGCAGCAAUUGUGGGCUGCGUAAUCCCGAGACGAAUGCUUUAAAGGGUGAGGAAUUUAGGGACUUAACGGAUGAAGAGAGAAUGCAAAAGGUGGAUACAAUUCGCACCCUGGGAAGCUGUACCCGGCAGGACAAGGUUACUUUAGUGAAGUGCUUGAAAGAAAAAGGUGAAGUGGUAGCAGUGUUGGGGCAGCGAACAAAUGAUGCUCCAGCACUAAAAGAAGCUGAUAUAGGGCUGACAAUGGGGACUUGGAGCUCGGAAACGGCAAAUGAGUGCUCGGAGCUCAUUGUUUGGAAUGCAGAUUUCACUUUUCUGGUUAAUGUGAUCGAGAGUGGGAGACGUACCUACGAGAAUAUACGAAAAUUCAUCCAAUUCCAGCUCAUCAACACCAUUUCGAGCUCAUCGGUUAACUUCAUUGCAACUAUAGUUUUGGGGAAUGCCCCAAUAACAGCAAUGGAGUUGUUCUGGUUGAACUUGGUUGUUGCACUUCUUGGAGGCUUGGCACUGCUGACCAUGCCACCGGCUGAAAACCUGAUGAAAAUGCCUCCGAUCAGAUCAUCUGGACGUCUUAUUACCAAUGCCAUGUGGAGAAAUAUAGCCAUACAAGUCUCUUAUCAAAAUGCCAUAUGUUUGAUUCUUCU